CUGGUAGAUUAGAUGAACAGGCCACUUGCUUUCUCAAAACUCAAAAGGAUGAUUAAGCAGAGCUAAUUUUUUCCAUGUGCUCUAUCUUCUCUAUUUGGAAACUCUCUGUGUGCUCUUGCCACUUUUCAUUCUCAAGAAACCUUUCAUAGAAGUUAACCUCCCCACUUGAUUUUAUGGACAACACGGAAGUGCUUCUGGUUCCAUAGUGUCCCAAUGGAGCGUCUGUCUCAACAAAUAUGGAACUCAACUGGCAUUCAAACUCAGCAGGAUAAAUUUUCGGUAACAUGCUCUCAUCAACGUCUUUAACAGUGUUUGUCAUUAGUAUUUCAACCAUCUCUUUCACAGGAAGCUCUCUUUCACCAUAUUUAUCUAACAAAUCUUUAAAAUUAUGGCCCAAUCGUUGAGCCUUAGGCCACGGGGAGUCUAGGCUUGCAUUUGAUAACACAUGCAUUCCAGGUGCAACAUCUGUGAUAAAAUUGUUUUCUGCUUUUGGUCUAUUGGUUACAUAAACCAUGGAUUUGGAACAGAUAUCAGUUAGUAUUAGGUUAAAUCCACUAUACUUUUCUGCCUCUUUUGCAAGAUCCGCGGCAAACUCCUUAGGAUUCUUGUUGCUCUCCAAGAAAUGAAC
This 628-nucleotide unclassified non-coding RNA is filed under the name Hevea brasiliensis (rubber tree). The record is from RNAcentral. Lineage: Eukaryota; Viridiplantae; Streptophyta; Magnoliopsida; Malpighiales; Euphorbiaceae.